CAAACGCCGGGAUUGCUCCUGGCUCAGCGUAUGAGUAGGCCUAGAUUCUGUGACGUUCGCGGCGGACGGGUGAGUAACACGUGGGCAACCUGCCUGUAAGACUGGGAUAACUUCGGGAAACCGAAGCUAAUACCGGAUAGGAUCUUCUCCUUCAUGGGAGAUGAUUGAAAGAUGGUUUCGGCUAUCACUUACAGAUGGGCCCGCGGUGCAUUAGCUAGUUGGUGAGGUAACGGCUCACCAAGGCAACGAUGCAUAGCCGACCUGAGAGGGUGAUCGGCCACACUGGGACUGAGACACGGCCCAGACUCCUACGGGAGGCAGCAGUAGGGAAUCUUCCGCAAUGGACGAAAGUCUGACGGAGCAACGCCGCGUGAGUGAUGAAGGCUUUCGGGUCGUAAAACUCUGUUGUUAGGGAAGAACAAGUACAAGAGUAACUGCUUGUACCUUGACGGUACCUAACCAGAAAGCCACGGCUAACUACGUGCCAGCAGCCGCGGUAAUACGUAGGUGGCAAGCGUUAUCCGGAAUUAUUGGGCGUAAAGCGCGCGCAGGCGGUUUCUUAAGUCUGAUGUGAAAGCCCACGGCUCAACCGUGGAGGGUCAUUGGAAACUGGGGAACUUGAGUGCAGAAGAGAAAAGCGGAAUUUCCACGUGUAGCGUGAAAUGCGUAGAGAUGUGGAGGAACACCAGUGGCGAAAGGCGGCUUUUUUGGGUCUGUAACUGACGCUGAGGCGCGAAAGCGGUGGGGAGCAAACAGGAAUUAGAUACUCCUGGUAGUCCACCCCCGUAAACCAAUAAGUUGCUAAAUUGUUAGAAGG
RNAcentral lists this ribosomal RNA (817 nucleotides) under Priestia megaterium. RNAcentral describes it as "bacterial SSU rRNA". It matches the Rfam family "Bacterial small subunit ribosomal RNA", at positions 36 to 831 of the family's 1533-position model. The record is from RNAcentral. Lineage: Bacteria; Bacillati; Bacillota; Bacilli; Caryophanales; Bacillaceae.